RNAcentral lists this ribosomal RNA (821 nucleotides) under Staphylococcus epidermidis. RNAcentral describes it as "bacterial SSU rRNA". It matches the Rfam family "Bacterial small subunit ribosomal RNA", at positions 34 to 837 of the family's 1533-position model. Lineage: Bacteria; Bacillati; Bacillota; Bacilli; Caryophanales; Staphylococcaceae. The record is from RNAcentral.
CGCUGGCGGCGUGCCUAAUACAUGCAAGUCGAGCGAACAGACGAGGAGCUUGCUCCUCUGACGUUAGCGGCGGACGGGUGAGUAACACGUGGAUAACCUACCUAUAAGACUGGGAUAACUUCGGGAAACCGGAGCUAAUACCGGAUAAUAUAUUGAACCGCAUGGUUCAAUAGUGAAAGACGGUUUUGCUGUCACUUAUAGAUGGAUCCGCGCCGCAUUAGCUAGUUGGUAAGGUAACGGCUUACCAAGGCAACGAUGCGUAGCCGACCUGAGAGGGUGAUCGGCCACACUGGAACUGAGACACGGUCCAGACUCCUACGGGAGGCAGCAGUAGGGAAUCUUCCGCAAUGGGCGAAAGCCUGACGGAGCAACGCCGCGUGAGUGAUGAAGGUCUUCGGAUCGUAAAACUCUGUUAUUAGGGAAGAACAAAUGUGUAAGUAACUAUGCACGUCUUGACGGUACCUAAUCAGAAAGCCACGGCUAACUACGUGCCAGCAGCCGCGGUAAUACGUAGGUGGCAAGCGUUAUCCGGAAUUAUUGGGCGUAAAGCGCGCGUAGGCGGUUUUUUAAGUCUGAUGUGAAAGCCCACGGCUCAACCGUGGAGGGUCAUUGGAAACUGGAAAACUUGAGUGCAGAAGAGGAAAGUGGAAUUCCAUGUGUAGCGGUGAAAUGCGCAGAGAUAUGGAGGAACACCAGUGGCGAAGGCGACUUUCUGGUCUGUAACUGACGCUGAUGUGCGAAAGCGUGGGGAUCAAACAGGAUUAGAUACCCUGGUAGUCCACGCCGUAAACGAUGAGUGCUAAGUGUUAGGGGGUUUCCGC